AUUGAACACUGGCGGCAGGCCUAACACAUGCAAGUCGAACGAUUGGCGGACGGGUGCGUCAUGUCUGGGAAACUGCCCGACGGAGGGGGAUAACUACUGGAAACGGUAGCUAAUACCGCAUACCAUCGGAUGUGCCCAGAUGGGAUUAGCUAGUAGGUGUGGUAACGGCUCACCUAGGCGACGAUCCAUAGCUGUGCGGAGAGGAUGACCGGCCACACUGGAACUGAGACACGGUCCAGACUCCGACGGGAGGCAGCAGUGGGGAAGAUUGCACAAUGGGCGCAAGCUUGAUGCAGCCAUGCCGCGUGUAUGAAGAAGGCCUUCGGGUUGUAAAGUACUUUCAGUGAGGAGGCGUUACUCGCAGAAGAAGCACCGGCUAACUCCGUGCCAGCAGCCGCGGUAAUUC
Molecule: ribosomal RNA, 406 nt
Filed under: uncultured bacterium
Lineage: Bacteria
Description: partial 16S ribosomal RNA
Rfam family: Bacterial small subunit ribosomal RNA
Source: RNAcentral